AGUUCGGUCCCUAUCUGCCGUGGGUGUAGGAUACUUGAGAGGAGUUGCCCCUAGUACGAGAGGACCGGGGUGAACGAUCCACUGGUGGACCUGUUAUCGUGCCAACGGUAGUGCAGGGUAGCUAUGAUCGGAAAGGAUAACCGCUGAAGGCAUCUAAGCGGGAAGCCCCCCUCAAAACAAGGUAUCCCUGAGGGCCGUGGAAGACCACCACGUCAAUAGGCCGGAGAUGUAAGCGCAGCAAUGCGUUCAGUUGACCGGUACUAAUCGCCCGGAAGGC
RNAcentral lists this ribosomal RNA (277 nucleotides) under Percolomonas cosmopolitus. RNAcentral's name for it is "partial Bacterial large subunit ribosomal RNA". It matches the Rfam family "Bacterial large subunit ribosomal RNA", at positions 2628 to 2925 of the family's 2925-position model. Lineage: Eukaryota; Heterolobosea; Eutetramitea; Percolomonadida; Percolomonadidae. The record is from RNAcentral.